Aedes aegypti (yellow fever mosquito) is the source of this 525-nucleotide long non-coding RNA. RefSeq lists it as uncharacterized. NCBI's taxonomy places the organism in Eukaryota, Metazoa, Arthropoda, Insecta, Diptera, Culicidae. The transcript has 2 exons. The record is from RefSeq and is a predicted model, not a curated record.
GCAAAGAAGUGAAAAUUUUGUAAAAGAGUGCAAAUUAGUGAAAAAAAAGUCUAUUUUCAUACCAAAAGAGCUCUUGAUGGUUUCCGUGACACGCCUGCUGAUCCUUGUGUGCUGUCGGUGUUAUUUGCCCAUCACAACGCUUCAUCGUCAUUGCAGAAACCGCAGAAUUUUCCCCUGUAAUCGACGGCCGGAUUUGGAUCGAAUGGAAGAUGCUAUCUUCGGGUAAUCAACGCAAAGCCAGAUCAGAUCCCCACCGCGGAAAAUGGCAAUGAAAUAUACCUUCGGAUUUGCCUUUCCAUUUGGACCAAUCGAAAACUUCACUCAAAGAUUUUGCAAGAACCUGUACCCCAUUGGACAAGUGAAAGGAAAGCAAUGGCACGACAUGACCAGACCAUUUGCAAUCCGGAUACAUAUGGAAACGAGUGUGAAACUUCCAACAGGAAAAAUAGUGUCAGCAAUAACACCAUGAACGCUAGUGUGUCAUUAGAAUCGAUGGCAAUAUAAAUACAAUUUUUAUAUUUUAAA